GAUGAACGCUGGCGGCGUGCCUAAUACAUGCAAGUCGAGCGAACGGACGAGAAGCUUGCUUCUCUGAUGUUAGCGGCGGACGGGUGAGUAACACGUGGAUAACCUACCUAUAAGACUGGGAUAACUUCGGGAAACCGGAGCUAAUACCGGAUAAUAUUUUGAACCGCAUGGUUCAAAAGUGAAAGACGGUCUUGCUGUCACUUAUAGAUGGAUCCGCGCUGCAUUAGCUAGUUGGUAAGGUAACGGCUUACCAAGGCAACGAUGCAUAGCCGACCUGAGAGGGUGAUCGGCCACACCGGAACUGAGACACGGUCCAGACUCCUACGGGAGGCAGCAGUAGGGAAUCUUCCGCAAUGGGCGAAAGCCUGACGGAGCAACGCCGCGUGAGUGAUGAAGGUCUUCGGAUCGUAAAACUCUGUUAUUAGGGAAGAACAGAUGUGUAAGUAAAUGUGCACAUCUUGACGGUACCUAAUCAGAAAGCCACGGCUAACUACGUG
This 497-nucleotide ribosomal RNA is filed under the name uncultured bacterium. RNAcentral's name for it is "partial 16S ribosomal RNA". It matches the Rfam family "Bacterial small subunit ribosomal RNA", at positions 28 to 507 of the family's 1533-position model. The record is from RNAcentral.